This 1347-nucleotide ribosomal RNA is filed under the name uncultured bacterium. RNAcentral's name for it is "partial 16S ribosomal RNA". It matches the Rfam family "Bacterial small subunit ribosomal RNA", at positions 28 to 1381 of the family's 1533-position model. The record is from RNAcentral.
GACGAACGCUGGCGGCGUGCUUAACACAUGCAAGUCGAACGGAAAGGCCCUGCUUUUGUGGGGUGCUCGAGUGGCGAACGGGUGAGUAACACGUGAGUAACCUGCCCUUGACUUUGGGAUAACUUCAGGAAACUGGGGCUAAUACCGGAUAGGAGCUCCUGCUGCAUGGUGGGGGUUGGAAAGUUUCGGCGGUUGGGGAUGGACUCGCGGCUUAUCAGCUUGUUGGUGGGGUAGUGGCUUACCAAGGCUUUGACGGGUAGCCGGCCUGAGAGGGUGACCGGCCACAUUGGGACUGAGAUACGGCCCAGACUCCUACGGGAGGCAGCAGUGGGGAAUAUUGCACAAUGGGCGGAAGCCUGAUGCAGCAACGCCGCGUGCGGGAUGACGGCCUUCGGGUUGUAAACCGCUUUCGCCUGUGACGAAGCGUGAGUGACGGUAAUGGGUAAAGAAGCACCGGCUAACUACGUGCCAGCAGCCGCGGUGAUACGUAGGGUGCGAGCGUUGUCCGGAUUUAUUGGGCGUAAAGGGCUCGUAGGUGGUUGAUCGCGUCGGAAGUGUAAUCUCGGGGCUUAACCCUGAGCGUGCUUUCGAUACGGGUUGACUUGAGGAAAGUAGGGGAGAAUGGAAUUCCUGGUGGAGCGGUGGAAUGCGCAGAUAUCAGGAGGAACACCAGUGGCGAAGGCGGUUCUCUGGGCCUUUUCUGACGCUGAGGAGCGAAAGCGUGGGGAGCGAACAGGCUUAGAUCCCCUGGUAGUCCACGCUGUAAACGGGGGGUACUAGGUGUUGGGGUCCAUUCCACGGGUUCCGUGCCGUAGCUAACGCUUUAAGUACCCCGCCUGGGGAGUACGGCCGCAAGGGCUAAAACUCAAAGGAAUUGACGGGGCCCGCACAAGCGGCGGAGCAUGCGGAUUAAUUCGAUGCAACGCGUAGAACCUUACCUGGGUUUGACAUGGAUCGGGAGUGCUCAGAGAUGGGUGUGCCUCUUUUGGGGUCGGUUCACAGGUGGUGCAUGCCUGUCGUCAGCUCGUGUCGUGAGAUGUUGGGUUAAGUCCCGCAACGAGCGCAACCCUUGUUCACUGUUGCCAGCACGUUAUGGUGGGGACUCAGUGGAGACCGCCGGGGUCAACUCGGAGGAAGGUGGGGAUGACGUCAAGUCAUCAUGCCCCUUAUGUCCAGGGCUUCACGCAUGCUACAAUGGCUGGUACAGAGAGUGGCGAGCCUGUGAGGGUGAGCGAAUCUCGGAAAGCCGGUCUCAGUUCGGAUUGGGGUCUGCAACUCGACCUCAUGAAGUCGGAGUCGCUAGUAAUCGCAGAUCAGCAACGCUGCGGUGAAUACGUUCCCGGGGCU